AGUGAACGCUGGCGGUAGGCCUAACACAUGCAAGUCGAACGGCAGCACAGUAAGAGCUUGCUCUUACGGGUGGCGAGUGGCGGACGGGUGAUGAAUACAUCGGAAUCUACUUUUUCGUGGGGGAUAACGUAGGGAAACUUACGCUAAUACCGCAUACGACCUACGUGUGAAAUCAUGGGAUCUUCGGACCUUGCGCGAUUGAAUGAGCCGAUGUCGGAUUAGCUAGUUGGCGGGGUAAAGGCCCACCAAGGCGACGAUCCGUAGCUGGUCUGAGAGGAUGAUCAGCCACACUGGAAGUGAGACACGGUCCAGACUCCUACGGGAGGCAGCAGUGGGGAAUAUUGCACAAUGGGCGCAAGCAUGCUCCAGCCAUACCGCGUGGGUGAAGAAGGCCUUCGGGUUGUAAAGCCCUUUUGUUGGGAAAGAAAAGCAGCAGGUUAAUACCCCGCUGUUCUGACGGUACCCAAAGAAGAAGCACCGGCUAACUUCGUG
RNAcentral lists this ribosomal RNA (492 nucleotides) under uncultured bacterium. RNAcentral describes it as "partial 16S ribosomal RNA". It matches the Rfam family "Bacterial small subunit ribosomal RNA", at positions 29 to 507 of the family's 1533-position model. The record is from RNAcentral.